RNAcentral lists this ribosomal RNA (305 nucleotides) under uncultured bacterium. Its description in RNAcentral is "bacterial SSU rRNA". It matches the Rfam family "Bacterial small subunit ribosomal RNA", at positions 337 to 640 of the family's 1533-position model. The record is from RNAcentral.
UCCUACGGGGCGCAGCAGUGAGGAAUAUUGGUCAAUGGUCGGGAGACUGAACCAGCCAAGCCGCGUGAGGGAUGAAGGUACAGAGUAUCGUAAACCUCUUUUGUCAGGGAACAAAGGCGGGGACGCGUCCCCGGAUGAGUGUACCUGAAGAAAAAGCAUCGGCUAACUCCGUGCCAGCAGCCGCGGUAAUACGGAGGAUGCGAGCGUUAUCCGGAUUUAUUGGGUUUAAAGGGUGCGCAGGCGGUCUGUUAAGUCAGCGGUCAAAGCCCGGGGCUCAACCCCGGCCCGCCGUUGAAACUGCCUCC